This 31-nucleotide non-coding RNA is filed under the name Mus musculus (house mouse). Lineage: Eukaryota; Metazoa; Chordata; Mammalia; Rodentia; Muridae. The record is from RNAcentral.
UCCGUUGACCAACGUUUGCCAUUUCCACAGC